GUAGGUGGCAAGCGUUGUCCGCAAUUAUUGGGCGUAAAGCGCGCGCAGGUGGUUCUUUAAGUCUGAUGUGAAAGCCCCCGGCUCAACCGGGGAGGGUCAUUGGAAACUGGGGAACUUGAGUGCAGGAGAGGAAAGUGGAAUUCCACGUGUAGCGGUGAAAUGCGUAGAUAUGUGGAGGAACACCAGUGGCGAAGGCGACUUUCUGGCCUGUAACUGACACUGAGGCGCGAAAGCGUGGGGAGCAAACAGGGAUUAGAUACCCUGGUAGUCCACGCCGUAAACGAUGAGUGCUAAGUGUUGGGGGGGGUUUCCGCCCCCUCAGUGCUGCAGCUAACGCAUUAAGCACUCCGCCUGGGAGUACGGUCGCAAGACUG
This 374-nucleotide ribosomal RNA is filed under the name uncultured organism. Its description in RNAcentral is "partial 16S ribosomal RNA". It matches the Rfam family "Bacterial small subunit ribosomal RNA", at positions 527 to 896 of the family's 1533-position model. The record is from RNAcentral.